This 253-nucleotide ribosomal RNA is filed under the name uncultured bacterium. RNAcentral's name for it is "partial 16S ribosomal RNA". It matches the Rfam family "Bacterial small subunit ribosomal RNA", at positions 524 to 776 of the family's 1533-position model. The record is from RNAcentral.
GACGAACCGUGCGAACGUUGUUCGGAAUCACUGGGCUUAAAGGGCGCGUAGGCGGCCGUCCAAGUCCGGGGUGAAAGCCCCCAGCUCAACCGGGGAAUGGCUGGAUAUACUGGCGGUCUUGAGCAGUCUAGGGGCAGAUGGAACAAGUGGUGGAGCGGUGAAAUGCGUAGAUAUCACUUGGAACGCCAAAGGUGAAAACAGUCUGCUGGGGACUUGCUGACGCUGAGACACGAAAGCCAGGGGAGCGAACGGG